GUAGGGUGCAAGCGUUAAUCGGAAUUACUGGGCGUAAAGCGUGCGCAGGCGGUGAUGUAAGACAGUCGUGAAAUCCCCGGGCUCAACCUGGGAAUUGCGAUUGUGACUGCAUCGCUGGAGUGCGGCAGAGGGGGAUGGAAUUCCGCGUGUAGCAGUGAAAUGCGUAGAUAUGCGGAGGAACACCGAUGGCGAAGGCAAUCCCCUGGGCCUGCACUGACGCUCAUGCACGAAAGCGUGGGGAGCAAAC
This 247-nucleotide ribosomal RNA is filed under the name uncultured Comamonadaceae bacterium. RNAcentral's name for it is "partial 16S ribosomal RNA". It matches the Rfam family "Bacterial small subunit ribosomal RNA", at positions 527 to 773 of the family's 1533-position model. The record is from RNAcentral. Lineage: Bacteria; Pseudomonadati; Pseudomonadota; Betaproteobacteria; Burkholderiales; Comamonadaceae.